GCCACACGCUCGCUGCGCCUGCGUGCGUGUGCUCGCCUCCCACCCUCCCCGCACUAGCUCUGCACUUUCCCUGGCAGUCGUCCCUUGUUCCUGACUUCCUGCCUGAGCGCAUCCGGCCACCUUCUAUCCGCCCGCCAGUCCCCGCCGGCCUCCGCGGAUCAUCUGCCUGGGAUCAAGAUCCGUCGAGGCCGAGGCACCCGCGCGCCAAAGAUCGUUUCUUGAUCUAAAUUUGGGUGGUCGUAGGGAUCAAAGCUCGGUUCUCUGCGGUGCAGUUGAGAGGGGUAAAAGUUGACUCUGAUUUGUUGAGGUGUCUGGGUGUGAGAGUCGGAUGGGUUCUGUGUGAAAGCUGGUGUCUCUAUAGUAGUUCGAAAGGUUGAGCAAUUUGGUUUAGAUACUGUGGCGAGGGAGAAGGAAGAUGGUUUCUUGGUCAGGGGGGGCUUUAGCCUGUAGGGUUAGGGAGUAGUGCUGUUCAUCUUAUCUAUGCUCUGUGUGCUGUUAAAUAUCUGAAUUGGAUUCUUUGUGUAUUUUCCAAUGAGAAUAGUUAGUUGCAUUAUUUGCUCUCAAUAUAAGAAGGACGAUAAGCCUUUGAUCUAAAAUAUAAUAAUUACUUGGAUCAAAUUGGCUUUAGUUUCUUGAUGGGUUGUAUGACAGCAUGUGCAGUUUAAGAUUUUUGCUGUUGUUGUGAGGUAAAGAGAAAGAAUAGCUAGCUUGAUAUGACUUCUUGGACUGUUCAUAGUGUUCUUGUGUUGUUGGAUUUGAAAGGCUGGCUAAUUUGGUAGGUUAAUAUAGCAACCAGUAGUUAUAACAUAAUUUUUAUUUGCAAGAUUAGAAAAUUGUAUUGAGUUCUUGAUGCAGAUUCAAAUAGACUUUUUAUUGCUGGUUUGAUCCUUG
Molecule: long non-coding RNA, 891 nt
Filed under: Zea mays
Lineage: Eukaryota; Viridiplantae; Streptophyta; Magnoliopsida; Poales; Poaceae
Description: drought-responsive long non-coding RNA
Source: RNAcentral